This 76-nucleotide transfer RNA is filed under the name Clostridiales bacterium. RNAcentral describes it as "tRNA-Thr". It matches the Rfam family "tRNA". From Rfam's summary of the family: Transfer RNA (tRNA) molecules are approximately 80 nucleotides in length. RNAcentral also lists the same sequence under 1 other name. The record is from RNAcentral. Lineage: Bacteria; Bacillati; Bacillota; Clostridia; Eubacteriales.
GCUGGUGUAGCUCAGCAGGUAGAGCAAGUGACUUGUAAUCACUAGGUCGGGGGUUCGAUUCCGUCCACCAGCUCCA